AUGUGCAGAGAUGGCUAAAGGAGCUCAGGGAUCACACUGAUGCCAACAUUGUGAUCAUGCUGGUAGGAAAUAAGGCAGACCUGCGUCACCUGCGAGCUGUUGCCGCUGAUGAUGCCAAGGGAUUCGCUGAACGAGAGAAUACCUUUUUCAUGGAGACAUCUGCUCUGGAAUCUUUGAACGUGGAGAAUGCAUUCACGGAGGUACUGACCCAGAUCUACCGAGUCGUUAGCAGGAAGGCUCUUGACAUCGGAGAUGACCCAGCAGCUUUGCCCAGAGGACAGACGAUCAAUGUUGGAUCCAAAGAUGAUGUCUCAGCUGUUA
This 321-nucleotide unclassified non-coding RNA is filed under the name Hevea brasiliensis (rubber tree). The record is from RNAcentral. Lineage: Eukaryota; Viridiplantae; Streptophyta; Magnoliopsida; Malpighiales; Euphorbiaceae.